GAUGAACGCUGGCGGCGUGCUUAACACAUGCAAGUCGAACGAUGAAGCCCAGCUUGCUGGGUGGAUUAGUGGCGAACGGGUGAGUAACACGUGAGUAACCUGCCCUUGACUCUGGGAUAAGCCUGGGAAACUGGGUCUAAUACUGGAUAUGACUUCUCAUCGCAUGGUGGGGGGUGGAAAGAUUUAUUGGUCUUGGAUGGACUCGCGGCCUAUCAGCUUGUUGGUGAGGUAAUGGCUCACCAAGGCGACGACGGGUAGCCGGCCUGAGAGGGUGACCGGCCACACUGGGACUGAGACACGGCCCAGACUCCUACGGGAGGCAGCAGUGGGGAAUAUUGCACAAUGGGCGCAAGCUUGAUGCAGCGACGCCGCGUGAGGGAUGACGGCCUUCGGGUUGUAAACCUCUUUCAGUAGGGAAGAAGCGAGAGUGACGGUACCUGCAGAAGAAGCGCCGGCUAACUACGUG
RNAcentral lists this ribosomal RNA (466 nucleotides) under uncultured bacterium. Its description in RNAcentral is "partial 16S ribosomal RNA". It matches the Rfam family "Bacterial small subunit ribosomal RNA", at positions 28 to 507 of the family's 1533-position model. The record is from RNAcentral.